UACAGAGGGUGCAAGCGUUAAUCGGAUUUACUGGGCGUAAAGGGCGCGUAGGUGGUUUUAUAAGUUGGAUGUGAAAGUCCUGGGCUUAACCUAGGAAUUGCAUGCGAGACUGUAGGACUAGAGUACUGUAGAGGGUAGUGGAAUUUCCGGUGUAGCGGUGAAAUGCGUAGAGAUCGGAAGGAACACCAGUGGCGAAGGCGGCUACCUGGACAGAUACUGACACUGAGGCGCGAGAGCGUGGGGAGCAAACAGG
This 253-nucleotide ribosomal RNA is filed under the name uncultured bacterium. Its description in RNAcentral is "partial 16S ribosomal RNA". It matches the Rfam family "Bacterial small subunit ribosomal RNA", at positions 524 to 776 of the family's 1533-position model. The record is from RNAcentral.